GACGAACGCUGGCGGCGUGCUUAACACAUGCAAGUCGAACGGAAAGGCCCUGCUUUUGUGGGGUGCUCGAGUGGCGAACGGGUGAGUAACACGUGAGUAACCUGCCCUUGACUUUGGGAUAACUUCAGGAAACUGGGGCUAAUACCGGAUAGGAGCUCCUGCUGCAUGGUGGGGGUUGGAAAGUUUCGGCGGUUGGGGAUGGACUCGCGGCUUAUCAGCUUGUUGGUGGGGUAGUGGCUUACCAAGGCUUUGACGGGUAGCCGGCCUGAGAGGGUGACCGGCCACAUUGGGACUGAGAUACGGCCCAGACUCCUACGGGAGGCAGCAGUGGGGAAUAUUGCACAAUGGGCGGAAGCCUAAUGCAGCAACGCCGCGUGCGGGAUGACGGCCUUCGGGUUGUAAACCGCUUUCGCCUGUGACGAAGCGUGAGUGACGGUAAUGGGUAAAGAAGCACCGGCUAACCACGUG
This 468-nucleotide ribosomal RNA is filed under the name uncultured bacterium. RNAcentral's name for it is "partial 16S ribosomal RNA". It matches the Rfam family "Bacterial small subunit ribosomal RNA", at positions 28 to 507 of the family's 1533-position model. The record is from RNAcentral.